Molecule: unclassified non-coding RNA, 352 nt
Filed under: soil metagenome
Description: partial contains 5.8S ribosomal RNA, internal transcribed spacer 2, and large subunit ribosomal RNA
Rfam family: 5.8S ribosomal RNA (bases 1-120)
Source: RNAcentral
GAUGAAGAACGUGGCGAAAUGCGAUAAGUAAUGUGAAUUGCAGAAUUCAGUGAAUCAUCGAAUCUUUGAACGCACAUUGCGCCCGCCAGUAUUCUGGCGGGCAUGCCUGUUCGAGCGUCAUUACAACCCUCAGGCCCCCGGGCCUGGCGUUGGGGAUCGGCGGAGCCCCCCGUGGGCACACGCCGUCCCCCAAAUGCAGUGGCGGUCCCGCCGCAGCUUCCAUCGCGUAGUAGCUAACACCUCGCGACUGGAGAGCGGCGCGGCCACGCCGUAAAACACCCAACUCUUCUGAAGUUGACCUCGAAUCAGGUAGGAAUACCCGCUGAACUUAAGCAUAUCAAUAAGCGGAGGA